Molecule: regulatory RNA element, 116 nt
Organism: Bacillus sp. SJS
Lineage: Bacteria; Bacillati; Bacillota; Bacilli; Caryophanales; Bacillaceae
Rfam family: ylbH leader
About the family: This family is a putative regulatory RNA structure that is found upstream of the ylbH gene in B. subtilis and related low GC Gram-positive bacteria.
Source: Rfam
UAAAAAAAAACCCCGCAGUAAAACCGCAGGGUCCCUCUAAACCAAAAGGCUAGAAGGAAAAGGGAGAGGAGAAACCGGAGGAAGAACUUAUGGGGAAACGUAAGUCUUCUCCGCGG